UAGGGAAUCUUCCGCAAUGGACGCAAGUCUGACGGAGCAACGCCGCGUGAGUGAAGAAGGAUUUCGGUUCGUAAAACUCUGUUGUUAGAGAAGAACAGCGCAUAGAGUAACUGUUAUGCGUGUGACGGUAUCUAACCAGAAAGCCACGGCUAACUACGUGCCAGCAGCCGCGGUAAUACGUAGGUGGCAAGCGUUGUCCGGAUUUAUUGGGCGUAAAGCGAGCGCAGGCGGUCAAUUAAGUCUGAUGUGAAAGCCCCCGGCUCAACCGGGGAGGGUCAUUGGAAACUGGUUGACUUGAGUGCAGAAGAGGCGAGGUGAAUUCCAUGUGUAGCGGUGAAAUGCGUAGAUAUAUGGAGGAACCCCAGUGGCGAAGGCGACUCUCUGGUCUGUAACUGACGCUGAGGCUCGAAAGCGUGGGUAGCAAACAGG
Molecule: ribosomal RNA, 429 nt
Filed under: Bacteroidota bacterium
Lineage: Bacteria; Pseudomonadati; Bacteroidota
Description: Bacteroidetes bacterium partial 16S ribosomal RNA
Rfam family: Bacterial small subunit ribosomal RNA
Source: RNAcentral